GAUGAACGCUGGCGGCGUGCCUAAUACAUGCAAGUCGAGCGAACAGACGAGGAGCUUGCUCCUCUGACGUUAGCGGCGGACGGGUGAGUAACACGUGGAUAACCUACCUAUAAGACUGGGAUAACUUCGGGAAACCGGAGCUAAUACCGGAUAAUAUAUUGAACCGCAUGGUUCAAUAGUGAAAGACGGUUUUGCUGUCACUUAUAGAUGGAUCCGCGCCGCAUUAGCUAGUUGGUAAGGUAACGGCUUACCAAGGCAACGAUGCGUAGCCGACCUGAGAGGGGGAACGGCAAAAAGGGAAUGGGGAAACGGCCCAAACCCCCACGGGGGGCAGGAGGGGGGAAUUUUCCGAAAGGGGGGAAAGCCGGACGGGGAAACGCCGGGGGGGGGAAGAAGGUCUUCGGAUAGUAAAACUCUGUUAUUAGGGAAAAAAAAAUGGGAAAGUAAAUAUGCAGGUUUUGACGGUAACUAAUCAGAAAGCCACGGCAAAAUAAGG
This 496-nucleotide ribosomal RNA is filed under the name uncultured bacterium. RNAcentral describes it as "partial 16S ribosomal RNA". It matches the Rfam family "Bacterial small subunit ribosomal RNA", at positions 28 to 506 of the family's 1533-position model. The record is from RNAcentral.